Small nuclear RNA from Peromyscus eremicus (cactus mouse), 102 nucleotides. The record is from RefSeq and is a predicted model, not a curated record. Lineage: Eukaryota; Metazoa; Chordata; Mammalia; Rodentia; Cricetidae.
AUGCUCGCUUCGGCAGCACAUAUACUAAAACUGGAAUGAUACAGAUUAGCAAGGCCCCUGCGCAAGGAUGACAUGCAAAUUCGUGAAACGUUCCAUAUUUUU